Molecule: long non-coding RNA, 4435 nt
Organism: Scophthalmus maximus (turbot)
Lineage: Eukaryota; Metazoa; Chordata; Actinopteri; Pleuronectiformes; Scophthalmidae
Exons: 5
Source: RefSeq, a predicted model, not a curated record
GGUCGAUUUGGCAUUCUCGAUUGGAUCUGCAAAAUGGAAAAAAACAACAGAGGAAAAGAAAAAGAAAAACUUCAGCUAAAGCACAUUUAAUAUCCUCCAACACUGAAAUGAUACCAAUCCGGGCAUACUGUAACUCGCAGAGCUGUACAUAUUUCCAGUGAGAAAGUUCGCCCCCUGCCUCGCUGACCCUUGUGAUGGGAGAACUGUGUGUGAGCUGAAAAGCUAUCAAGGCUGUGACCUUUGUUAAUCAUCAGCCCUACACGCCCUUGUGUUGCCAUUUACAGCAGGACGAGGUCUGCCAACAUUUUCAAAGGGAGCCCUUUUCAGUCCCGGAUGCGACAAGCCGUCCACGAGGACACCUUCCAUUCAGAGCUUAUUAUGAGAGAGAAGAAAGUGUAGCCUGUAGCUGAGAGCGCCGCGUGUGAGAGCGGCGAACUGGGUUGUGACAUUGUGUUCCUGUGGCGAAGAGUAAUGGGAAUGUUGACCUUUUGAGGCAAUCCAUCCUCACAUGACUGACUUUCAGGGCUUUCUUUUUCCUUUUCUUUUUUCUUCCCGGGGCUGUUUGCAAGACAUAUCCAAGACAGAUAAGUCAUCCACCUCCGUCUCCCAGCAGCCCCCUACCUGCACGAGUAGUUGAGGUUCCGUCUGAUGCUCCUCUUGAAGAAGCUCUUGCAGCCCUCGCAGGUGAACACGCCAUAGUGCUUCCCGCUGGACUUGUCCCCGCACACCACACAGUCCACCACGCAGGCCUUGUCCUCGUCCCCGACGUCCACAUCGCUGCUGCCGGCCUGGGGCGACCCGUCCUCCUCCUCCCUCCUCAGGGUGCAUGUUUGGACAGUGUGUAACACUCCUCCUGACAAGUGAACUGGUCUCCAAGUGUAAAACUGGAGGAAGAUCUCCUGUGGAAUCCCUGGCCUGCUUUGUCUGUCAUACCAACAGCGUAUGUGUGUUGUGAAGGACUCCGCGAAAAAAAAAGGGGAGGACAAAAUAAACAAUCAGAGCCGGCAACCAAGGUUUCCAAUAACACCCUCCGAAUGCAGGAGAGAAAAAAGCCCACAGAGGAGGUCAGGAAUGCAGCUGCUCUCAGCGUGAAGUCGACUGUGGCGGAGUCUGUGCAUUUUCUCAGGAGUGCAGAUUGAGGCAGAUUAACGUUCAGUUGUUCACCUGAACAAUGCACACACACACACAUGCACACACACACACACACACACACACACACACACACACACACACACACACACACACACUACAUACUACUUAAAUUUAUCUUAGGGUUUACUUGAAGUUAAAUUUAAUCUUCAAACAAGGCUGAAUAUUAACAUCAAAUGAAAAUAUGGGGGAUACUAUUGUGCUGGAAUAUUUAACAAUAAUGAUAAUAAUACUUUGUUCGUGACUAUGUGAAUGAAGUGAAUGACAGUGUCCAAAAUCUUGGCUAUUUUUUAUGAGGCACUGACUUGUGGGUCUAUCAGUGUUUGGGCAUCGGCAGAAUCGGCAGAGAAUAAUCAUCAAAAUAUUUCCACAUGAAUUUUAAGUGCUAGAAAAGUUUAUAUAUAUAUAUAUAUAUAUAUAUACUGUAUAUAUAUUAUCAAAGAAUUAAGUGACAAUGCACCUUUUGUUGUUCACAGAUACAGGACGCCUGUAGACGUGAUAAGAACAUGAUACAUCACACAGAGUGAGACACACACACACACACUUUCAUGUGAUGAUAGUUUUAACUACAUGGUCCAGGGUUGGGGAUUGGAGCUCCUGCGUUGUAAUAACCUGUUUAGCAGAGAUUUACGUCUCUGCUUCCAUAUUAUCUUCUGCCAAAGAGAUUAUAGAAGCUUUUGUCAAAGUAUAAGUAGAUGAUAUUCAAACUGUACAGUAUUUAAAUUGUUAAUUCUUCCUCCCGUGCUAAAAGUAAGCCCCAGCAAAAGCUCACUUGAUGCUAUUUUUCAAAAACAAUGACAGAAAAGUACAAACCGCCACUGGCAGUCCAUGUGUUUUUUGUUUGUUUUUUUGUGCAUUGCCUGAGUUCGACCGCAGUUUGAGACGACUGAAUCAAUUCCCUGUAAAUGGUGGACUCUUUAUUACCCCGGGGGGCUGUUAACUGCAUUAGGUGAAAUGUAGAGGAAUUUGAAAUCUGGGGUUAAACUUUAACUCCGAGGAGUAACUCUGCGUGAACAAGCAAGAGCACACGACGCCCCGCUCCUUCCUCGUUAGCCCCCACUGCCCUUUGGCCCAGAAGCCAGAGGAAAAGUCAUCUCUUCCUCUCUCACAACACACUCUCCAUCCUUGAGCCUUUGACCUCGGACGAAUGACGGAGCACUUUAAAAUAAACAGGGAAGUGGAACCUGGCAAAGAACAACAUCUGCUGCGGUGACUCCAGCGCAACACACAGUCUCCAAUCAAUAUUUGCGCUCCUCCCAGCCCAGGACCUGCUGGAGGUGGUGGGAAACUUCCCAUUUGGUGUGCUUUGUUGUCAUUCAAAUCAGCUGUGAACGAGGUAUCAACCCAUUGUUUGCAGUCAAUAGAAGUGUUCACUGUAUUGGCAGCGAAGCGUGUUUGCUGUAAAGAUAAGGAAACAUUGAGCGAGGCUGACGUCGAACUGAACCAGGACAUACUCAACCUUGGUCCCUGACAUUCACAGUAUUCCACUUUUAUUUCUUGCUCUCCACAUGUUUUUGGCGUCUGACUCCGCUCCGGCUGUAUGCUGUUUCUCACAGACACAGAGCUACUGCUUGUCUCUGUUUUAGCUCAUUUUGGUAUUGACAAUGUUUUUCGGUCACUUCCUUCCGUCUUGUUUUGAGCUUCAUCGAGCUUCAAACAUUGUCUGUUCUGAGGCUGUCUCCUGUCUUUAUGGUAUAUUAAACUAAAAUGGGCUUGUAAAAGUUGUAAAUAUCUUUACUACAAUAAGCUAUCUCACUGUUUUUAUGGUUAGUUACAACUGUGAAUAUUAUAUUUAACAUAUUUCUAAUGUUUAAUUUGUUAUGUGUAUUAUUCCCUUUUUAAGUGAUGCAUUUGGGUGAAUCCAUCGACAGGAUUUCUAUUUAAUCUUGUUGAUUACUUAAAAAAAACAAACAACCUGAUAUUCCACCAAACUUGGGAUGGGGUCUGGGCCUGGGAACCUACUAAAUUUUGGUGUGAAUGUGGAUUAAGAGGCUGACCCAGGAUUUUUUCUUCCCUUUUUUAACUAUGUUUUAUGUCAAAUCAUUGAGGGUAAUCAGACCACUACUGUUUUCUUCUUCUAUAGUUUUACUAUAUGAAAUAGUGUUUUUACCUCAGUGCAUCGUCUUCAGUGCAGGUGUAUUCAACAUUUGGAAUACAUGUUGAUUCUAUGGGGGUUGAAGAGGUGAGCGUCAUGAUAAAAUAAUAAAAACAUGUUUCUAAAUGUUUCGCACCAGAUGUAAAAGGACUACCAUGGACAUUACAGUGUCAUCAGAUGACCCGUUUGACAGAUGAACUGCUUUAACUUUAGGCGUCCCCGAAGCCUGACAUCUUCAGACAGGGCAUUAACCUAACACUUUGUGCAGCCACAACAAUUUGAUCGAGUUCUAAGUUGUCAACUUCAAUCUCUCGUAAAUCUGUGUCCAAUCUGUUGCUGCCUGGUGUGCCCUCUGCUAUCGGUCACACAUUAGUCCACUAAGAUGCUGAGGAUGACAGAAAACGAACCCAAUGAGCUUCAGGGAAGACGACUCAAAUGCUUUAACGGGAUUAGGCCCAGGCCACUCCCCUGGCCCUCUUUCCCCCUAAACACCUUAUUGCUGUAAUCUACGACACACAAGCUGACGAGCUGAGUGACCUCAUUAGCUCUUCUGCUCUGUUGUUGUUCUGGACACUAAUCUGUGGUGUGCUGAGAAAACACAACCACACUCCAAGUUUCCUACAUGAGAGUGACUUUAUUAUGAAAGAUUCAUCACAAUUGAGGUGUGAAUCAAUUUUGAUGGAACAGAGCCAGGGUUUUUGCAUUUUUCAGUUUAUUUACUUCAAAUGACAAAAAUGUUGUAUUAGGGAAUUAAUAUACUUUCCCAGUGAGAACCAGACCUUUAAAAUUCUCAGUUUUUUUUAAAAAGUUUUCUGUAGAACAUAUUUUCUUGCUUUUUAACAGAAUGAAAUUUGGCCUGCAGAGACUUGAAACAUACAGUGUUUGAUAAAGUCAAUCCAUUCAAGUGAAAACCAUGUCCUGAUUUUUUGUCAGCAGCAAAACAAUCCAUACACGCAAUGAUUGAGCAUAUGAUGAGGAAACAACUUGUGAAAGUAUCUCAAGCAAACUUCAAGUCUCUGCAAGUUGAUUGUAGUACUUUGCUGCAACAUAUGAAAACCUGUGAAUGCCUGUGACAUAGAAAAAAAACAUACAUUCCUCAGAAAAGUUGAAUUACCCCGGAGGUUUUAACACACACCAACUGCUGUCUGGCAGGGCAGGUCAUUCUCCAUCUCUCUUUCCCCACGUUGUCUG